RNAcentral lists this transfer RNA (72 nucleotides) under Salmo salar (Atlantic salmon). It matches the Rfam family "tRNA". From Rfam's summary of the family: Transfer RNA (tRNA) molecules are approximately 80 nucleotides in length. Their secondary structure includes four short double-helical elements and three loops (D, anti-codon, and T loops). Further hydrogen bonds mediate the characteristic L-shaped molecular structure. tRNAs have two regions of fundamental functional importance: the anti-codon, which is responsible for specific mRNA codon recognition, and the 3' end, to which the tRNAs corresponding amino acid is attached (by aminoacyl-tRNA synthetases). tRNAs cope with the degeneracy of the genetic code in two manners: having more than one tRNA (with a specific anti-codon) for a particular amino acid; and 'wobble' base-pairing, i.e. permitting non-standard base-pairing at the 3rd anti-codon position. The record is from Rfam by way of RNAcentral. Lineage: Eukaryota; Metazoa; Chordata; Actinopteri; Salmoniformes; Salmonidae.
UCCCGUGUGGCUCAGUUGCUAGAGCAUGGUGUUUGCAACGCCAGGGUUGUGGGUUCGAUUCCCACAGGGGAC